UUUACGCUGGGGUGUUAAUGCACGAUAAAUCUUGAUUUUAUAUGUUUAUAGGGGUAUAACUGUG
Molecule: transfer RNA, 64 nt
Filed under: Appalachioria falcifera
Lineage: Eukaryota; Metazoa; Arthropoda; Diplopoda; Polydesmida; Xystodesmidae
Description: tRNA-Gln
Source: RNAcentral